CCUACGGGGGACAGCAGUAGGGAAUCUUCCACAAUGGGCGAAAGCCUGAUGCAGCAACGCCGCGUGGGUGAAGAAGGUCUUCGGAUCGUAAAACCCUGUUGUUAGAGAAGAAAGUGCGUGAGAGUAACUGUUCACGUUUCGACGGUAUCUAACCAGAAAGCCACGGCUAACUACGUGCCAGCAGCCGCGGUAAUACGUAGGUGGCAAGCGUUAUCCGGAUUUAUUGGGCGUAAAGGGAACGCAGGUGGUCUUUUAAGUCUGAUGUGAAAGCCUUCGGCUUAACCGGAGUAGUGCAUUGGAAACUGGGAGACUUGAGUGCAGAAGAGGAGAGUGGAACUCGAUGUGUAGCGGUGAAAUGCGUAGAUAUAUGGAAGAACACCAGUGGCGAAGGCAGCUCUCUGGUCUGUAACUGACGCUGAGGUUCGAAAGCGUGGGUAGCAAACAGGAUUAGAUACCCCAGUAGUC
This 465-nucleotide ribosomal RNA is filed under the name uncultured bacterium. RNAcentral describes it as "partial 16S ribosomal RNA". It matches the Rfam family "Bacterial small subunit ribosomal RNA", at positions 338 to 795 of the family's 1533-position model. The record is from RNAcentral.